Molecule: ribosomal RNA, 478 nt
Filed under: uncultured eukaryote
Lineage: Eukaryota
Description: eukaryotic LSU rRNA
Rfam family: Eukaryotic large subunit ribosomal RNA
Source: RNAcentral
AGGAGCCUAUCAUAUACGCGAGUCGCUCGGUCUUGUUUAGGCCUGGGAGGCGCAAUGAAAGUAAAGCUACGAGGCUGUGAGAAUUCGUUCAAUCAGUCGCAGUAGUGGCCCGCCUCCUUCCUUUUUCGGGGAUAUGGCGGAGCUCGAGCGUAUACGAUGGUACCCGAAAGAUGGUGAUCUAUGCCUGGGCAAGACGAAGCCAGAGGAAACUCUGGUGGAGGUCUGUAGCGAUUCUGACGUGCAAAUCGAUCGUCAGACCUGGGUAUAGGGGCGAAAGACUAAUCGAACCAUCUAGUAGCUGGUUCCCUCCGAAGUUUCCCUCAGGAUAGCAGGCGCUUGAUUAAUCAGUCUCAUCCGGUAAAGCUAAUGAUUAGAGGUCUUGGGGCCGAAACGGCCUCAACCUAUUCUCAAACUUUAAAUGGGUGAGAUGCAUGACUUGCUUAAUUGAAGCCAUGCAAUUGGAUGUGAGUGCCUAGUG